AGCGAAAAAAAGGUCGGCCACAACAAAUUAGGAUACUAUCACGAGGUGAAAAGAAGUUGCGCCGUAAGUGUGGUAGGUGUGGUUCUCGAGGACAUAAUCGACUAACUUGCAGUGCACCAAUCCCACUGUCUAACAAUGAGCCCGUAGUUAGACCGAAUGAAACAUAAACAAGCACAUGUACUACUAUUAACCUUAUAUACUUGUUAUUUUUUGUUGUUUAAUUUUUUUAAUGUCUUUCAUAUUUAGUGAUAAAUUUCUACCUUUUUGUUUCGCAGAUGAAUAACCGUGUUUGUGUGGCUUUCUAAGAAUAAGUAUUGAAGGGAGGCGACCAGAGGCUUAUAAAAUAUGGACCGAGUGUUUGGGUUGAAUAUGCCAAAAAUUUAUUAUGAAUGUUAAACAACUUCUAUUGUAUUACGACUUAUUUACGAUUUCAAUAAGUAUUGGAUUUAUGUUAUUUGAUAGGCAACCGGACUAUAGUUAGUUUCAUUUAUUUGAAGUUUGAUAUGUUAAAAUUUAUAUUGAUUAUGUCAUCAAUAUAAUGAAUGAUUGAA
RNAcentral lists this long non-coding RNA (551 nucleotides) under Citrus sinensis (sweet orange). Its description in RNAcentral is "long non-coding RNA (CSIN_LNC002123)". The record is from RNAcentral. Lineage: Eukaryota; Viridiplantae; Streptophyta; Magnoliopsida; Sapindales; Rutaceae.